AUCAUAUCAAGCGACACAGCCAAGCGACUUUCCGCAACACACCUUAUCCCCUAAACACGCUUGUUAGUAAUAUAAUUUAAUUUGUUAUUUUGACUGUUGCAAAAAUGUUCUCAAAUAAACAAAGUCAAUAGACAUGAUUACCUUUUUAAUGUGUAAAAAUUACUUUAUAUGUCUGACUCUUCAUGGGUUACAUUAGUCAAGAGGAAUACAACAAACAUUGUUUUUAGUAUAUCAAGAAAAAGGUUUAUUGUAAAGGUUGACAUUUACAGAUAAUGACAAAAAUGAAAAUAGACUAACAAUGACAAAACAAAUUUCUAAAUCUCUACCACAGUGCAUAGUGGAAUUACAACCGAGACCUUCUCUUUAGUGUGACUUAACUGCACGGUUGAUGUACUAAGUACACGUCUGCCUUCAAUACGCUCCACAGGGAGAAAUGCUGCAGCAGUAUCAGUCUGUUCCGGCCAUUAUGUCGGUGACGUAAGGGAAUGCAACCAAUGACAUUACAGUAUCAUUCGCGCGAACACAAUUUAAAUUGUUGGCAUUGUGUACGGAAGUCAUUUUUUGCGAAUUGCAACUUGGUGAAACUGACUAUUGUUUGUGAUGGCGUGUAAAAGAAAACUGAGUUUUACUACUCCCGUGAGUAAUAGGGCUUUGCAACCAGCAGCAAGCCCACUGAGCAUAAAUGAUUUAACGAAACAGCUGAUCUCCGGUCAGAACGCUUUGUCUCGUCAAAGACCGCAAGAGGAACAAAGACCGCGGGAAGAGCCAUUACAUAAAAGGAUAAAGAGGGCGCACAACGUGGGCAUUGCGGAAGCUGUAAGGCGCCUUCACAAUUCGGAAAACAACCCACAUAAAUAUGAUCCACAAACUGGAAUAAGUUCGCCUCGUAACCAAGCAGUCAUGCAGUAUCAGCUCAGUGUUGAACAUUUAUGUCAGGAAAAGGACCAUUUACAUCCAAAUGUAAUUUGAUGCACACAGAACACAACCUAGAAAUAUAUUUCAGAAUAUAAACUGCUUAAUCGGCCAUUUUCAGUAAGAUUUAACGUUACUAAAUGUUUGUAUGCCUGUGCGUUUAACUGGAAUAAUGUCCAACAGAUAUCUGUUUUAAAGCAGUGGGUAAUUCACUGCUGAUUUGCUUAAAAUCUACUUUGCGAUUCUGUUGGCGAACAUGUUUAUGGUGCAUUCUAUUCAACCCGUUUUAUUGCUAGUGAAGCAUAAAUAGACAGCGCGGCCUUUACAAGUAAUUUGCGCAAUGUAUCUGGUUGACAUGACAACCUCACGCGCUUGCUGCUGCGCUAAUCAUAGUAAAACCGCUUUAAAUGGUACAUGGAUUGUGACUUUGUACGUUUACUACAGAAAUGCUAAAAUGUAUUUAAAAGUUUGACUAACCAAAUCGACCCCCCCCCCCGCCCCACGCGUACAGCACCCCCAACCUAAAACAUCUUCCCGCGCCCCUGGGCGGGCCUGACUGCUGAGGUCCCAUACAGAAGUCACAUAGAUCGAAAUAUAUUUAAAAUAAAUACAUUUUUAUAUAUUGAAAUAUCUUAAAUUUAAAUAGAAGAAAAUAUGUUUUAUAAAAUAUAUGUAAAUAUAUUUUAAAAUAUAUUACAAAAAUAUAUGUAAAUAUUCGAUUUUGGCCGCUUUUUAAUAUUUUCCACAUAUAUUAAACAUAUGUAAAUAUAUUUUUAUUGGAAAUAUUUACAUAUAUUUAUUUCCCAUAUAUGUAAAUACAUUUAGAUAUCAGACUAUGUAAAUAUAUUCAUUUGGAAUAUAUGUCUAUAUAUUAAUUUCUAAUAUUUGUUAACAUAUUACAUUUCAGUACAUGUAAAUAUAUUACAUUUAUAUAUAUAUAUAUGUGUAAAUAUAUUUUAUAUUGUAAAUAUUUACAUAUAUUUAUUUCCCAUAUAUGUAAAUACAUUUAGAUAUCAGACUAUGUAAAUAU
Long non-coding RNA from Cyprinus carpio carpio, 1942 nucleotides. The record is from Ensembl. NCBI's taxonomy places the organism in Eukaryota, Metazoa, Chordata, Actinopteri, Cypriniformes, Cyprinidae.